AGCGGCGGACGGGUGAGUAAUGUCUGGGAAACUGCCUGAUGGAGGGGGAUAACUACUGGAAACGGUAGCUAAUACCGCAUAACGUCGCAAGACCAAAGAGGGGGACCUUCGGGCCUCUUGCCAUCAGAUGUGCCCAGAUGGGAUUAGCUAGUAGGUGGGGUAAUGGCUCACCUAGGCGACGAUCCCUAGCUGGUCUGAGAGGAUGACCAGCCACACUGGAACUGAGACACGGUCCAGACUCCUACGGGAGGCAGCAGUGGGGAAUAUUGCACAAUGGGCGCAAGCCUGAUGCAGCCAUGCCGCGUGUGUGAAGAAGGCCUUCGGGUUGUAAAGCACUUUCAGCGAGGAGGAAGGUGGUGAGCUUAAUACGCUCAUCAAUUGACGUUACUCGCAGAAGAAGCACCGGCUAACUCCGUGCCAGCAGCCGCGGUAAUACGGAGGGUGCAAGCGUUAAUCGGAAUUACUGGGCGUAAAGCGCACGCAGGCGGUUUGUUAAGUCAGAUGUGAAAUCCCCGGGCUCAACCUGGGAACUGCAUUUGAAACUGGCAAGCUAGAGUCUCGUA
This 563-nucleotide ribosomal RNA is filed under the name Serratia sp. (in: enterobacteria). RNAcentral's name for it is "bacterial SSU rRNA". It matches the Rfam family "Bacterial small subunit ribosomal RNA", at positions 94 to 653 of the family's 1533-position model. The record is from RNAcentral. Lineage: Bacteria; Pseudomonadati; Pseudomonadota; Gammaproteobacteria; Enterobacterales; Yersiniaceae. RNAcentral also lists the same sequence under 1 other name.